UAGGGAAUCUUCGGCAAUGGACGGAAGUCUGACCGAGCAACGCCGCGUGAGUGAAGAAGGUUUUCGGAUCGUAAAGCUCUGUUGUUAGAGAAGAACGUUGGUAGGAGUGGAAAAUCUACCAAGUGACGGUAACUAACCAGAAAGGGACGGCUAACUACGUGCCAGCAGCCGCGGUAAUACGUAGGUCCCGAGCGUUGUCCGGAUUUAUUGGGCGUAAAGCGAGCGCAGGCGGUUCUUUAAGUCUGAAGUUAAAGGCAGUGGCUUAACCAUUGUACGCUUUGGAAACUGGAGGACUUGAGUGCAGAAGGGGAGAGUGGAAUUCCAUGUGUAGCGGUGAAAUGCGUAGAUAUAUGGAGGAACACCGGUGGCGAAAGCGGCUCUCUGGUCUGUAACUGACGCUGAGGCUCGAAAGCGUGGGGAGCAAACAGGAUUAGAUACCCUGGUAGUCCACGCCGUAAACGAUGAGUGCUAGGUGUUAGGCCCUUUCCGGGGCUUAGUGCCGCAGCUAACGCAUUAAGCACUCCGCCUGGGGAGUACGACCGCAAGGUUG
This 550-nucleotide ribosomal RNA is filed under the name uncultured bacterium. RNAcentral describes it as "bacterial SSU rRNA". It matches the Rfam family "Bacterial small subunit ribosomal RNA", at positions 355 to 896 of the family's 1533-position model. The record is from RNAcentral.